CUCCAAUAGCAUAAAUGAGCUAUCUUUAUUGGAGAUAAAAAAAAUAGUAACAUAACAGAUAAAGCCUCUUUGCAGGAGAAACGCGUUAGUGUUUUUUAAAGCUGUUUUAUGUUACUAUUUUUUUUUAUCUAAAACCGUAUCCAGAACACAAUUAAAGUCCCCUGUAAUAACUAACAUUUCCAUUGUAACUUUUUCUACUCUAUCCAUUAUCUUUUUUAGAUACUUUGUUGGUGAUAUAUUUGGCAGAUGGAGGUUUACAAAAGUAUAUUUUACAGAGUCUAUCUUACAAACUAGGAUUUGAUAUCUUCCUUCAUUAUCUACCUCUGUGUAUAUUAUCUCUUUAUUAAGCAAUUUUGAGAAGAUGAUAGCAACUCCUCUCUUUUUUUUUUCCUCUCAAGAGAUACCUGUAUAACUUCUUCGUAUAUCUCAUAUCCCCAUCUGAUUUU
Pelobates cultripes (western spadefoot toad) is the source of this 446-nucleotide non-coding RNA. The record is from the annotation of a GenBank genome assembly. Lineage: Eukaryota; Metazoa; Chordata; Amphibia; Anura; Pelobatidae.